UACAGAGGUGGCAAGCGUUGUUCGGAAUUACUGGGCGUAAAGCGUGCGCAGGCGGUUCGUUGUGUCUGAUGUGAAAGCCCCGGGCUCAACCUGGGAAUGGCAUUGGAAACUGGCGAGCUAGAGUGUGGCAGAGGGGGGUGGAAUUCCGCGUGUAGCAGUGAAAUGCGUAGAGAUGCGGAGGAACACCGAUGGCGAAGGCAGCCCCCUGGGCUAGCACUGACGCUCAGGCACGAAAGCGUGGGGAGCAAACAGG
RNAcentral lists this ribosomal RNA (253 nucleotides) under uncultured bacterium. Its description in RNAcentral is "partial 16S ribosomal RNA". It matches the Rfam family "Bacterial small subunit ribosomal RNA", at positions 524 to 776 of the family's 1533-position model. The record is from RNAcentral.